AUUGAACGCUGGCGGCAUGCUUUACACAUGCAAGUCGAACGGCAGCACGGGCUUCGGCCUGGUGGCGAGUGGCGAACGGGUGAGUAAUAUAUCGGAACGUACCCAGAAGUGGGGGAUAACGUAGCGAAAGUUACGCUAAUACCGCAUACGAUCUAUGGAUGAAAGCAGGGGACCGCAAGGCCUUGUGCUCCUGGAGCGGCCGAUAUCUGAUUAGCUAGUUGGUGAGGUAAAGGCUCACCAAGGCGACGAUCAGUAGCUGGUCUGAGAGGACGACCAGCCACACUGGAACUGAGACACGGUCCAGACUCCUACGGGGGGCAGCAGUGGGGAAUUUUGGACAAAGGGCGCAAGCCUGAUCCAGCAAUGCCGCGUGAGCGAAGAAGGCCUUCGGGUUGUAAAGCUCUUUUGUCAGGGAAGAAACGGUAGAGGCUAAUAUCCUUUGCUAAUGACGGUACCUGAAGAAUAAGCACCGGCUAACUACGUG
This 484-nucleotide ribosomal RNA is filed under the name uncultured bacterium. RNAcentral's name for it is "partial 16S ribosomal RNA". It matches the Rfam family "Bacterial small subunit ribosomal RNA", at positions 30 to 507 of the family's 1533-position model. The record is from RNAcentral.